UUUACAAAAACAUGUCUUUUAUGAUUAAUAAUUAAAAGUCGGGCCUGCCCCAUGAAAUUUAAAUGGCCGCGGUAUUUUGACCGUGCUAAGGUAGCAUAAUCAUUAGUUUCUUAAUUAGAAGCUGGAAUGAAAGGUUUGAUGAAAAAACUUCUGUCUCAGUUUUAAGUUUUCGAAUUUUAUUUUUAAGUAAAAAAGCUUAAAUUUAAAUAAAAGACGAGAAGACCCUAUAGAGUUUAAUAUUUUUAACUGAAUAAAUAAAAUGAAGAAUUAUUUUUUUUUCUUGUGUAAAUAUUUAGUUGGGGUGACUAAAAAAUUUAAUAAACUUUUUUAAACUAAAAACAUUAAUAUAUGAAAAUUUUAAUGAUCCUAAUAAUUAAUUUAGAUUAAUAGAAAAAAUUACCUUAGGGAUAACAGCGUUAUUUUUUCUAAGAGUUCUAAUCGAAGAAAAAGUUUGCGACCNCGA
RNAcentral lists this ribosomal RNA (463 nucleotides) under Pityogenes fossifrons. RNAcentral describes it as "partial 16S ribosomal RNA". It matches the Rfam family "Bacterial large subunit ribosomal RNA", at positions 1804 to 2529 of the family's 2925-position model. The record is from RNAcentral. Lineage: Eukaryota; Metazoa; Arthropoda; Insecta; Coleoptera; Curculionidae.